ACCCCUGCCGAGCCCGCCCCCAUAGCCCUCUGCCCCAUCCUGCCUGUCUCCCCUAACUCACCUCUCUACACUUCCCCUCCCAGGGUGGGGGCAGGGGGAGGUGGGAUGGAGGGGAGACCCCCACAGGGACCCACUGGGGCCCACAGGGGCCCAGGCCUCUGGGGGACCAGCGGUGGCAGCAGCAACACUGGACGCAAGUGGAGCCCUUCCCAUAGAUUGUCUCAGCUGUGCUGGGUGUCCUGGGCACACCCAGGGAGCCCAGCAGGCCUCACCACACACUUGUGGGGCAGGCGCAGGCGACGACGGGAGUCCCAGCCCCUGUCUUCCCCCGCCCCCCGCCCCCCCUUGCUACUGAGGUGGUCGGCCUGCCGGUCCCCCCACCGGGUCCACCCCCAGGCCACGGUUAUGCAUGUCGCCUGGCCUCAGCUGGCGCCUAGCAGCCGACUUAGAACUGGUGCGGACCAGGGGAGUCCGACAGCUUAAUUAAAACAGCAUCGCGAAGGCCCGCGGUGGGUGUUGACCGAUGUGAUUUCUGCCCAGUGCUCAGAAUGUCAAAGUGAAGAAAUUGAAUGAAGCGCGGGUAAGGGGAUCCCUGGGUGGCUCAGCGGUUUAGCACCUGCCUUUGGCCCAGGGCACGAUCCUGGAGUCCCAGGAUCAAGUUCCGCGUUGGGAUCCUGGCGUGGAGCCUGCUUCUCCCUCCUCCUGUGUCUCUGCUUCUCUCUCUCUCUGUCUAUCAUAAAUAAAUAAAUAAAUCUUAAAAAAAAAAAAGCGCGGGCAAACGACGGGAGUAAAUAUGACUCUUAAGGCAGCCAAAUGCCUCGUAAUCUAAUUAGUGAUGCACAGGAAUGGAUACACAAGAUUCCCACUGUCCCUACCUACUAUCUGGUGAAAUCACAACCAAGGGAACAGACCUGGCAGAAUCAGCAGGGAAAGAAGACCCUGUUGAGCUUGACUCUAGUUUGGCAUGGUGAAGAGACAUGAGAGGUGUAGAAUAAGUGGGAGGCCCCCAGCACCCAUCUGUCCCUGCAAGGGGACUGGAUGAUGUCUGCCAGCCUUGUAGGACUCCAUUGAAAUACCACUACUCUUACUGUUUUUUUGCUGAUCCCGUGAGGCAGUGGUGCGAGCCCCCAAGGGGCUCUCACUUCUGGCGCCAAGUGCCUGUCCAUACUGGCUGGGUGCAACCCGCUCCGGGGACAGUACCAGGUGGGGAGUUUGACUGGGGCUGUACACCCGUCAAAUGGUAACACAGGUGUCCUAAGGCGAGCUCAGGGAGGACAGAAAUCUCCUGGGGAGCAGAAGGGCAAAAGCUCACUUGAUCUUGAUUUCCAAGACAAAUACAGACCAUGAAAGCAGGGCCUGACGAUCCUUCUGACCUUUUGAGUUUUAAGAGGAGGUGUCAGAAAAGUUACCACAGGGAUAACUAGCUUGUGGCAGCCAAGCCAGUCGCUUUUUGAUCCUUUGAUGUCGGCUCUUCCUACCAUUGUGAAGCAGAAUUCACCAAGCGUUGGAUUGUUCACUCACUAAUAGGGAACAUGAGCUGGGUUUAGACAGUCAUGAGACAGGUUAGUUUUACCCUACUGAGGAUGUGUAGUUCAGGGUCCUCCCAGAGGAUGUGUUGUUGCUGUGGUAAUCCUGCUCAGUACGAGAGGAACCACAGGUUCAGACAUUUGGUGUAUGUGCUUGGCUGAGAAGCCAGUGGGGUGAAGCUACCAUCUGUGGGAUUAGGACUGUGAACGCCUCUAAGUCAGAAUCCCACCCAGGCACAAUGAUAAGGCAGCACAAUGGGGCCUCGGUUGG
Molecule: ribosomal RNA, 1797 nt
Filed under: Canis lupus familiaris (dog)
Lineage: Eukaryota; Metazoa; Chordata; Mammalia; Carnivora; Canidae
Description: eukaryotic LSU rRNA
Rfam family: Eukaryotic large subunit ribosomal RNA
Source: RNAcentral